This 356-nucleotide ribosomal RNA is filed under the name uncultured Glomeromycotina. RNAcentral describes it as "SSU rRNA". It matches the Rfam family "Eukaryotic small subunit ribosomal RNA", at positions 569 to 924 of the family's 1831-position model. Lineage: Eukaryota; Fungi; Glomeromycota. The record is from RNAcentral.
CGCAGCCGCGGUAAUUCCAGCUCCAAUAGCGUAUAUUAAAGUUGUUGCAGUUAAAAAGCUCGUAGUUGAAUUUCGGGAUUGGCGCAUCGGUCGUGCCUCACGGGGUAUGAACUGGUGCAGUCAAUUUCUCACCUUCUGGAGAACCGCGAUGUCCUUAAUUGGAUGCCGCGGGGAACCAGGACCUUUACUUUGAAAAAUUAGAGUGUUUAAAGCAGGCAUUUUUGCUUGAAUACAUUAGCAUGGAAUAAUAAAAUAGGACGGCAUGGUUCUAUUUUGUUGGUUUCUAGGACCACCGUAAUGAUUAAUAGGGAUAGUUGGGGCAUUAGUAUUCAAUUGUCAGAGGUGAAAUUCUUGGA